UGGGGAAUAUUGCACAAUGGGCGCAAGCCUGAUGCAGCCAUGUCGCGUGUAUGAAGAAGGCCUUCGGGUUGUAAAGUACUUUCAGCGGGGAGGAAGGCGAUAAGGUUAAUAACCUUGUCGAUUGACGUUACCCGCAGAAGAAGCACCGGCUAACUCCGUGCCAGCAGCCGCGGUAAUACGGAGGGUGCAAGCGUUAAUCGGAAUUACUGGGCGUAAAGCGCACGCAGGCGGUGUGUCAAGUCGGAUGUGAAAUCCCCGGGCUCAACCUGGGAACUGCAUUCGAAACUGGCAGGCUAGAGUCUUGUAGAGGGGGGUAGAAUUCCAGGUGUAGCGGUGAAAUGCGUAGAGAUCUGGAGGAAUACCGGUGGCGAAGGCGGCCCCCUGGACAAAGACUGACGCUCAGGUGCGAAAGCGUGGGGAGCAAACA
RNAcentral lists this ribosomal RNA (427 nucleotides) under uncultured bacterium. Its description in RNAcentral is "partial 16S ribosomal RNA". It matches the Rfam family "Bacterial small subunit ribosomal RNA", at positions 355 to 774 of the family's 1533-position model. The record is from RNAcentral.